GGGUUGUAAAGCACUUUCAGCGGGGAGGAAGGCGUUGAGGUUAAUAACCUUGGCGAUUGACGUUACCCGCAGAAGAAGCACCGGCUAACUCCGUGCCAGCAGCCGCGGUAAUACGGAGGGUGCAAGCGUUAAUCGGAAUUACUGGGCGUAAAGCGCACGCAGGCGGUCUGUCAAGUCGGAUGUGAAAUCCCCGGGCUCAACCUGGGAACUGCAUUCGAAACUGGCAGGCUAGAGUCUUGUAGAGGGGGGUAGAAUUCCAGGUGUAGCGGUGAAAUGCGUAGAGAUCUGGAGGAAUACCGGU
This 301-nucleotide ribosomal RNA is filed under the name Klebsiella pneumoniae. RNAcentral's name for it is "bacterial SSU rRNA". It matches the Rfam family "Bacterial small subunit ribosomal RNA", at positions 420 to 713 of the family's 1533-position model. The record is from RNAcentral. Lineage: Bacteria; Pseudomonadati; Pseudomonadota; Gammaproteobacteria; Enterobacterales; Enterobacteriaceae.